This 1306-nucleotide ribosomal RNA is filed under the name metagenome. Its description in RNAcentral is "SSU rRNA". It matches the Rfam family "Eukaryotic small subunit ribosomal RNA", at positions 558 to 1790 of the family's 1831-position model. The record is from RNAcentral.
AGUCUGGUGCCAGCAGCCGCGGUAAUUCCAGCUCCAAUAGCGUAUAUUAAAGUUGUUGCAGUUAAAAAGCUCGUAGUUGGAUUUCGGGGCUCCUUAUGUAAUAGUCAUGCGGUGGACACUUGCUUGUUGCUUUAGGGGGGUGUUUUUUUGGGGCAACCCGAGGACACCACCCGGCGGCAGGGGAAAGGCCACUGCGGGCGGGGCCCAUUUAUAUUUCUCGAAGACGUCACGGGCCCUUAACUGGUGUACUGUGGUCGCGGAUUCGAGACGUUUACUUUGAAAAAAUUAGAGUGUUCAAAGCAGGCAAUCAAAAACGCUUGAAUACAUUAGCAUGGAAUAAUGGAAUAGGACUUUGGUCUUAUUUUGUUGGUUUCUAGGACUGAAGUAAUGAUUAAUAGGGACAGUUGGGGGCAUUCGUAUUUAAUUGUCAGAGGUGAAAUUCUUGGAUUUAUGAAAGACGAACUUCUGCGAAAGCAUUUGCCAAGGAUGUUUUCAUUAAUCAAGAACGAAAGUUAGGGGAUCGAAGACGUUAGAUACCGUCGUAGUCCUAACCAUAAACUAUGCCGACUAGGGAUCAGUGGGGAACAAAUCAAAAAACUCCAUUGGCACCUUACGAGAAAUCAAAGUUUUUGGGUUCUGGGGAAAGUACCAACGCAAGUUGGAAACUUAAAGGAAUUGACGGAAGGGCACACCAGGCGUGGAAUCUGCGGCUUAAUUUGACCCAACACGGGGAAACUCACCAGGUCCAGACAAAAUAAGGAUUGACAGAUUGAGAGCUCUUUCUUGAUUUUUUGGGCAGUGGUGCAUGGCCGUUCUUAGUUGGUGGAGCGAUCUGUCUGGUUAAUUCCGAUAACGAACGAGACCUUAACCUGCUAAAUAGCGACGUCAUUCCUUGUGAAGGACGGAUUUUGACUUCUUAGAGGGACUAUCGGUGACUAACCGAUGGAAGUUUGAGGCAAUAACAGGUCUGUGAUGCCCUUAGAUGUUCUGGGCCGCACGCGCGUUACACUGACAGAGGCAGCGAGUUUUUUUAAAUAUCCUGGCCUGGAAAGGUUUGGGUAAUCUUGUGAAUCUCUGUCGUGAUGGGGAUAGAUCUUUGUAAUUAUCGAUCUUCAACGAGGAAUGCCUUGUAAUCGCGGUUCAUCAAAUCGCGUUGACUACGUCCCUGCCCCUUUGUACACACCGCCCGUCGCUACUACCGAUUGAAUGGUUUAGUGAGGUCUCGGGACUGGCGCGGCUUGGCUGUAAAAGGCCGAUCCAUGCUGGGAACUUGCCCAAACUUGAUCAUUUAGAGGAAGUAAAAGUC